CCAUUAAUAAGAUGCAACCUCCUACCAGUGCCAACAUCAACAUCUGGGUUUUUUUCUCAACCUUUGAAUUUCUAUCCUCAUUUCCUUGUUGUUUCCUUCGGCUUUCCCUAGUUCCCUUAACAAUUUGGAAAUCGUGUUCUUUGUAUACUCCGGCAAGGGCGGAUUGUACCAUAAAAAAAAUUUGCAACAAUGAGCAGUCUGCAUUCAAAAUUAAUCCAUCAUUAGUAAUAAAACUUAAAUAAAUACACCCUAACCAUUACAAAGAUUAUUAAAAUUUAAGCAUUUGGCUAGUCUUAUUACACCGUAAUUUCUUCAUCCAUUAAACGGAUUUGCUGCAGUCCAAGAAGACACUAUUCUACAGGAUUCUUGGCGAUGGCACUUCAUGAUUUCUCUCCAUUGUAAUAUUCAACUUUUCCUGGGCUAGAUCCUCCGAAAUGUGAACUUCCAUAGGCCUCCUUCCUUGAAGAUCGAUUUGUAGUUGAGCUGGACGAUCCCGCAUCCAAAUUUUCCAUCUGCUAUGCACUUCAAAAGGAUGAACUUGAAUACAUUAUAGUUGUAAGCUGGUAAUUGGGAAUCGGUUUCAAGCCCCUAAUUUCUUCCGCUAUUUGGAUGCGAAAUGGGUUAUGUCUUGAAAACCCCUAAUUUCACAGGCUUCCCCUUAUUUGGAUACAA
This 672-nucleotide long non-coding RNA is filed under the name Coffea arabica (coffee). RNAcentral's name for it is "long non-coding RNA (CARA_LNC000233)". Lineage: Eukaryota; Viridiplantae; Streptophyta; Magnoliopsida; Gentianales; Rubiaceae. The record is from RNAcentral.